UACGUAGGUGGCGAGCGUUAUCCGGAUUUACUGGGCGUAAAGCGCUUGUAGGCGGCUUCGUAAGUUGGGCGUGAAAGCUCCGGGCUUAACCCGGAGAGGCCGUCCAAUACUGCGGAGCUCGAGGGUGCCAGAGGAAGGUGGAAUUCCUGGUGUAGCGGUGAAAUGCGUAGAUAUCAGGAGGAAGACCCGUGGCGAAGGCGGCUUUCUGGGGCAUUCCUGACGCUGAGAAGCGAAAGCUAUGGGAGUGAACGGG
This 253-nucleotide ribosomal RNA is filed under the name uncultured bacterium. Its description in RNAcentral is "partial 16S ribosomal RNA". It matches the Rfam family "Bacterial small subunit ribosomal RNA", at positions 524 to 776 of the family's 1533-position model. The record is from RNAcentral.